This 85-nucleotide transfer RNA is filed under the name Felis catus (domestic cat). It matches the Rfam family "tRNA". Rfam says of the family: Transfer RNA (tRNA) molecules are approximately 80 nucleotides in length. Their secondary structure includes four short double-helical elements and three loops (D, anti-codon, and T loops). Lineage: Eukaryota; Metazoa; Chordata; Mammalia; Carnivora; Felidae. The record is from Rfam by way of RNAcentral.
GCCUGAGUGGCUCAGUUGGUUGAGUGUCUGACUUUGGCUCAGGUCAUGAUCUCACAGUUUGUGGGUUCAAGCCCCACAUUGGGCU